AUUAAUGCUUCAUAUCAUUAGAAUAUAAUUUUUUGGUUAGUAGGUACUUAGUUAUAUAUUACAUAUUACACCUAAUCAUAAGAAUAAUAGGUAUAAUGUCAUAAUAAUGUAAGAAUACUAAAUAGUAGUAAACGGUAUUAUUACCUACAAGAGAAGUGUUUUUUUAUAUUAAUUAUGAGUACAGAUAUACUUACUAUAUCACUCGAAUUCUAAAUUGUUAAGUACAUACAUGUUGGCCUAUUGACCCUAUUAAGAUAUACUAAGAUAUAUUGAGAUAUACUAUCAGGGUCAGGUACUUUACCGCAAGUAUAAUACAAUACUCCCAAUGAACCAGACACUCAUGAAAAGUACGCUAUAGAGAUAAAUAAAAAUGGAUUAGGGAGUGCCCCACUUAGUAAUAUAUAAAGCUGCAGUGAUUUCAAAUCAAGUGUCAUUCCCAUCUCAAAAUUACAAAUCAAAGCUAGACAAAACAUUCCUAAUAAAACAAAACAAGAAAAUAAAAACAAAAAGAAGAAUUUAAUAAAAUUAUAAACAGCAGAUAUGAAGCUACCAGUUCUAUUCACCAUUGUAGUGGUGUUGUUGUCAGUUUUCCUGGGUUCCGGGGAAGCAGCUCCGGGGAAAAUACCCGUGAAGGCGAUCAGGAAAGGUGGCGAGAUUAUUGGAAAAGCUCUAAACCGCAUUAGCAUAGCAAGUACCGCUCAUGACAUUGUCAGCCACUUCCAACCGAAGAAGAAAAAGAAGAAGAAGAAAAAUUAAUGCUCUAAUUUGUUAAUAAAAUAUUUUUAAUUACGUAAUAAUA
This is a long non-coding RNA of Plodia interpunctella (Indianmeal moth), 799 nucleotides long. RefSeq lists it as uncharacterized. The transcript is spliced from 2 exons. The record is from RefSeq and is a predicted model, not a curated record. NCBI's taxonomy places the organism in Eukaryota, Metazoa, Arthropoda, Insecta, Lepidoptera, Pyralidae.